CAGAAUCGGUAGGGGAGCUUCCCAUGGGCGGAGAAGCCGGAGGGCGACCGACGGUGGAGCGCAUGGGAGUGAGAAUGCUGGCAUGAGUAGCGAGAGACGAGAGAGUAACUCGUCCGCCGUGAACCCGAGGUUUCCUGGGCAAGGCUAAUCCUCCCAGGGUCAGUCGGGGGCUAAGGCGAGGCCGGGAGGCGUAGCCGACGCGCAGCAGGCAGACAUUCCUGCACCGCGCACGCGGCGCUACGACCGACGGGGCGACGGAUGGGGGUGGCUCGGCGGGGUUCUGGACGUCCCCGUGAUGGAGCGCGGCCCGCGGACCAGGGAAAUCCGGUCCGCAUCGAGGGCGAGGCUCCGGACGAAGCGACUGAGCGAAGCGAGUGAGCCCGAGGUCCCUAGAAAAACCCCUAGGCAGGCGCGUGCGCGCCCGUACCGCAAACCGACACAGGUGGGUGGGUAGAACAUACCGAGGCGAUCGGGUCAACCAUGGUCAAGGAACUCGGCACAAUGGCCCCGUAACUUCGGGAGAAGGGGUGCCCGCGCGUACGUGAACCGGCUUGCCCGGGGAGCGGAGGCGGGCCGCAGUGGAGAGGCCCAAGCGACUGUUUACCAAAAACACAGGACUCUGCAGAAGCCGCAAGGCGACGUAUAGGGUCUGACGCCUGCCCGGUGCCGGAAGGUCACGCGGAGGAGUUAGCCGCAAGGCGAAGCCCCGAAGCCAAGCCCCGGUAAACGGCGGCCGUAACUAUAACGGUCCUAAGGUAGCGAAAUUCCUUGUCGGGUAAGUUCCGACCCGCACGAAUGGCGUAACGACUUGGGCACUGUCUCAACAAGGGACCCGGCGAAAUUGUAGUAUGUGUGAAGAUGCACAUUACCCGCGAUAGGACGGAAAGACCCCGUAGAGCUUUACUGUAGCCUGGUAUUGGAUUUUGGUAACGUAUGUACAGAAUAGGUGGGAGACGGAGAAGCGAGGACGCCAGUUCUCGUGGAGUCGCCUUUGGGAUACCACUCUUAUGUUACCGGGGUUCUAACGAGCGGCCGUGAACCGGCGUUCAGACAGUGCCAGGUGGGCAGUUUGACUGGGGCGGUCGCCUCCGAAAGGGUAUCGGAGGCGCUCAAAGGUUCCCUCAGAAUGGUCGGAAACCAUUCGAAGAGUGCAAAGGCAGAAGGGAGCUUGACUGCGACACCGACGGGUGGAGCAGGUACGAAAGUAGGGCUUAGUGAUCCGGUGGUAUUAAGUGGGAAUGCCAUCGCUCAACGGAUAAAAGCUACCCUGGGGAUAACAGGCUUAUCUCCCCCAAGAGUCCACAUCGACGGGGAGGUUUGGCACCUCGAUGUCGGCUCAUCGCAUCCUGGGGCUGUAUUCGGUCCCAAGGGAAUGGG
RNAcentral lists this ribosomal RNA (1377 nucleotides) under human gut metagenome. RNAcentral's name for it is "bacterial LSU rRNA". It matches the Rfam family "Bacterial large subunit ribosomal RNA", at positions 1220 to 2577 of the family's 2925-position model. The record is from RNAcentral.